This 253-nucleotide ribosomal RNA is filed under the name uncultured bacterium. Its description in RNAcentral is "partial 16S ribosomal RNA". It matches the Rfam family "Bacterial small subunit ribosomal RNA", at positions 524 to 776 of the family's 1533-position model. The record is from RNAcentral.
UACGAACUGUGCAAACGUUAUUCGGAUUCACUGGGCUUAAAGGGUGCGUAGGCGGCCAUUUAAGUAGGGUGUGAAAUCCCGGAGCUUAACUCCGGAACUGCGCUCUAAACUGGGUGGCUUGAGUGAGAUAGGGGUGUGUGGAACUUCCAGUGGAGCGGUGAAAUGCGUUGAUAUUGGAAGGAACUCCGGUGGCGAAGGCGACACACUGGGUCUUAACUGACGCUGAGGCACGAAAGCCAGGGUAGCGAACGGG